This 69-nucleotide transfer RNA is filed under the name Fejervarya limnocharis (Boie's wart frog). RNAcentral describes it as "tRNA-His". It matches the Rfam family "tRNA". Rfam says of the family: Transfer RNA (tRNA) molecules are approximately 80 nucleotides in length. RNAcentral also lists the same sequence under 1 other name. Lineage: Eukaryota; Metazoa; Chordata; Amphibia; Anura; Dicroglossidae. The record is from RNAcentral.
GUGGACAUAGUUUAAACAAAACACUAGAUUGUGAUUCUAGAAAUGAGAGCUAAUCCCCCUCUGUCCACC